This is a long non-coding RNA of Astatotilapia calliptera (eastern happy), 1217 nucleotides long. Lineage: Eukaryota; Metazoa; Chordata; Actinopteri; Cichliformes; Cichlidae. The record is from Ensembl.
CCGGAGAGUUCCUCAAACAUGAAAACUUAAGCACAUGAUGUGAGAUCAUGAGUCUGUAGCUUCUGAAACAAUGUGAAAAAAAUAGCAGGAAAUGCUUACAGAAGCACAUUUAUUUUCUGGGCUGAAAUAUCUUCAUACAUCCCACUGCUUGCAUAAACACCGCCUACUUAGGCAUGCAAGUGUCUUAGUCAAAGUUGAAUUAAAUGUAUUUCAAAUAGAGUACAGCAGCUUUUGCACCUUGCAAAUUAAAUCUUUUUACUUCCAUGCCUUUCAGCAGACAUUUACGAAUUGCUUGCAGCUUUUGUAGUUUUGCUUGACUCGAGGGGACAAAGCUUUUCAGUCUGUAGCACUAAGACUCUGGACCAGUUUACCGCUCCAGCUCCAUUUGGCUGGCUUUUUAAAAACAGUUAAAAGCCUUUUCUGUUUAAUCAGGCCUCCUGCUGACAUUUUGUUUUUUUGUUUGUUUGUUUUUUUUUUGUUUUUUUCCUAAUUCUGCUUUAACAAGAUUCUCUGUUGAUAUUGCAUUUUAACUGUUGUUCGGCACUUUCCGGCUGUUAAGUCUGUGAAAAGCACUAUCUAAACUUAUUUAGUCAAAAGCUACAUUUCUAAAGAUACUUUUAUCCCAAAUCCUCUACACCUGCUCUUUAGCUUUGCUUAAAAAUAAACUGGGUUAAUGUGUAGGGUUUACAUGAGUUUGCUCUUGGCAUUUACAAACUCUCUGUGGACCUCAUGAACCCUCACAGAAGUGUGCCUGCAUUGUGUGUGUGUGCGCGUGUGCGGUCCUCUGUCUCAUGCCACAGGUAGCAUUGGACGUAUUUGCUCUGUGGUUAAUUAAUUACAGGCCCUUGGAGCCGAGAAAAGGGCAAAGCAAUGGCAGAAAAUCUAUCAUAUCAUUCCCCUCGUGGUCGCAAGACUGAUUCAAAUAUCUCUCCAACUUUAAAGAGUUACAUGAAUUAAGAUAAGUUGGCUCCUCUCCAGUGUAGCAUGCACCAAUUGCGUUCCUGUGCUGAUGAGAAACAUGAGUCACUCUGUGAACACAUGAACAACUCAUUUAAAAAACAAAAACACUUUUCACUUAAAAAAAAGAAAAAAAAGUGAGUACUUUUUGUUUUAGUGCCACAAACAAGCAUUUAACAAGCAGUUAACCUGCUGGCUGUUAUUGUGCAGUUACUGGUCUUACGUAAGCCAAACAGGUAGAUGCCGUUGGGCCAAAAGUG